GGCUCUGUGGCGCAAUGGAUAGCGCAUUGGACUUCUAGGUGAAAGAAGAAAUUCAAAGGUUGUGGGUUCGAAUCCCAUCAGGGUCG
This 86-nucleotide transfer RNA is filed under the name Xenopus tropicalis (tropical clawed frog). RNAcentral describes it as "Xenopus (Silurana) tropicalis (western clawed frog) tRNA". It matches the Rfam family "tRNA". From Rfam's summary of the family: Transfer RNA (tRNA) molecules are approximately 80 nucleotides in length. Their secondary structure includes four short double-helical elements and three loops (D, anti-codon, and T loops). Further hydrogen bonds mediate the characteristic L-shaped molecular structure. tRNAs have two regions of fundamental functional importance: the anti-codon, which is responsible for specific mRNA codon recognition, and the 3' end, to which the tRNAs corresponding amino acid is attached (by aminoacyl-tRNA synthetases). tRNAs cope with the degeneracy of the genetic code in two manners: having more than one tRNA (with a specific anti-codon) for a particular amino acid; and 'wobble' base-pairing, i.e. permitting non-standard base-pairing at the 3rd anti-codon position. The record is from Rfam by way of RNAcentral. Lineage: Eukaryota; Metazoa; Chordata; Amphibia; Anura; Pipidae.